GAUGAACGCUGGCGGCGUGCCUAAUACAUGCAAGUCGAGCGAACGGACGAGAAGCUUGCUUCUCUGAUGUUAGCGGCGGACGGGUGAGUUACACGUGGAUAACCUACCUAUAAGACUGGGAUAACUUCGGGAAACCGGAGCUAAUACCGGAUAAUAUUUUGAACCGCAUGGUUCAAAAGUGAAAGACGGUCUUGCUGUCACUUAUAGAUGGAUCCGCGCUGCAUUAGCUAGUUGGUAAGGUAACGGCUUACCAAGGCAACGAUGCAUAGCCGACCUGAGAGGGUGAUCGGCCACACUGGAACUGAGACACGGUCCAGACUCCUACGGGAGGCAGCAGUAGGGAAUCUUCCGCAAUGGGCGAAAGCCUGACGGAGCAACGCCGCGUGAGUGAUGAAGGUCUUCGGGUCGUAAAACUCUGUUAUUAGGGAAGAACAUAUGUGUAAGUAACUGUGCACAUCUUGACGGUACCUAAUCAGAAAGCCACGGCUAACUACGUG
RNAcentral lists this ribosomal RNA (497 nucleotides) under uncultured bacterium. Its description in RNAcentral is "partial 16S ribosomal RNA". It matches the Rfam family "Bacterial small subunit ribosomal RNA", at positions 28 to 507 of the family's 1533-position model. The record is from RNAcentral.